RNAcentral lists this ribosomal RNA (731 nucleotides) under uncultured Acetobacteraceae bacterium. RNAcentral's name for it is "bacterial SSU rRNA". It matches the Rfam family "Bacterial small subunit ribosomal RNA", at positions 63 to 834 of the family's 1533-position model. Lineage: Bacteria; Pseudomonadati; Pseudomonadota; Alphaproteobacteria; Acetobacterales; Acetobacteraceae. The record is from RNAcentral.
CGCACGGGCAGGGGUAACUCUGUCAGUGGCGGACGGGUGAGUAACGCGUAGGUAUCUAUCCUUGGGUGGGGGACAACUGUGGGAAACUACAGCUAAUACCGCAUGAUAACUGAGGUUUAAAGGCGCAAGUCGCCUGGGGAGGAGCCUGCGUACGAUUAGCUAGUUGGUGGGGUAAAGGCCUACCAAGGCUGCGAUCGUUAGCUGGUCUGAGAGGAUGAUCAGCCACAUUGGGACUGAGACACGGCCCAAACUCCUACGGGAGGCAGCAGUGGGGAAUAUUGGACAAUGGGCGAAAGCCUGAUCCAGCAAUGCCGCGUGUGUGAAGAAGGUCUUCGGAUUGUAAAGCACUUUCGACGGGGACGAUGAUGACGGUACCCGUAGAAGAAGCCCCGGCUAACUUCGUGCCAGCAGCCGCGGUAAUACGAAGGGGGCUAGCGUUGCUCGGAAUGACUGGGCGUAAAGGGCGCGUAGGCGGAUGGCACAGUCAGAUGUGAAAUUCCCGGGCUUAACCUGGGGGCUGCAUUUGAUACGUGUUGUCUAGAGUGAGGAAGAGGGUUGUGGAAUUCCCAGUGUAGAGGUGAAAUUCGUAGAUAUUGGGAAGAACACCGGUGGCGAAGGCGGCAACCUGGUCCUUGACUGACGCUGAGGCGCGAAAGCGUGGGGAGCAAACAGGAUUAGAUACCCUGGUAGUCCACGCUGUAAACGAUGUGUGCUGGAUGUUGGGCGACCUA